Molecule: long non-coding RNA, 2599 nt
Filed under: Mus musculus (house mouse)
Lineage: Eukaryota; Metazoa; Chordata; Mammalia; Rodentia; Muridae
Description: long non-coding RNA chr18:5665339-5667938
Source: RNAcentral
GUGGGGGACUUUUGGGAUAGCAUUGGAAAUGUAAUUGAAGAAAAUAUGUAAUAAAAAAAAAAGAAGAAGAAGAACAGAAAUGCAUUCAAUACCGAAGUGAAGCAGCCCAUGGGGCUUGACAGUGUGAGGCCUGUUAUGACUCCUGACACUCAAGGUCUGGAAAGCUGAUUAACAGAAGUGUGAGGAAAGUUGGGAAGACCAGAUAUAUCCAGGAACAGGUGCUAGUGACAGAGCACUUAAGGGAAUUGGGGACACAGUCUCACUGGCAUGAAGGGGAAUUGGCCUGUUAUGCUAGAGUGUCUUUAGAAAAUAUGGGUGUCACUGGGAGGGGCUGCUUGUGCAUAGGUUAGGGCAACCCUGUCAUGUUCAAGCACAGAUGGCUUCAAAUCAUAUUGGCCAGUUGCUGCUGAUGCUGUCCAGCAGUGUAGAGUAGCACCCAAAUCUAGCCUUCUGUCUUCUAGCAGAACCCUGUGUCUUGUAUAUAACUCAAGGCACCAUUCUUCCGCAGCUGAAAGGCAGUUUGAUGGCUUUGCUGAGGAGUGCUGUGAUUUUUCUCUCACUUUAUCGGAUACAUUAAAACGUUGCUUACAGAAAUAGGCUUCAAUCUUUCCUGCUUCCUAAAGCCUUUCCAUUCCCAGAAGCCUGUCUCCAGUGUCCAUUCUCAACUCUUCUGCUCUGCUUUACUUUCUAUUUGUUGCAGGUGUGUUCUCAGCUCUGCCUGUCACAGUGUGUCAGAACUUUUGUAUUUGUCUUUCCACCUGGCUGGUAAGAUCCAUGGGGACAGGCAUGAUGUUAUUUUCUUAACUAUUAGACCCUGAGAUGACAGAUGCUAAACAGAUGAUUUGAAUGAAGGAAUGGCCUAUGUCGCAGAAUCCAUUACCUUCCACUUGUCUGACUGUAGGUGGCCAGAUCUGACUCCCUUAGACAUACAUGCCGGUCCCUUUUAAAUCUUGUUUAAUUUGUCCAGUGGGUGAAUGGAUGGAUGGAUGGACAGACGGACACACACUUCUGAAUGCCAUUUUCCCUUUGCUAGUUGGGUUGCUCUGCCCUGGACUUCUCUGCACUUUCCUUCCUUGCUUACCAGCACAAGUGAAUCAUAAGAUCAGACUUCAGAACAGAUGUCAUGUCGGAAACAAUGCCUUUUUGUUUUGAGGCCUGCAAGUCAUUCCAGAGUCUGGGAAAAGCCAUGUUCUUGGAAUGGAACGCAGCAUAAAUACAGACUAGGAAUGACAGUUGCUCACAUUUGGGUGAAGUUCUGAAGGAAGGAAAUGGACAAGCCCCCCCACCCCACCCUACCCCACCUCCGACAACUUGAAUAUCUUUAGGAGCCUUCUCAUCUUGAAAUGUCAAUACAAGGGUAAAGCCAUAGAUACAGAGUGACAUCUAUAGUGAAAUAUUGGAACUACCAAAAAGAGUGAUUUUACUUCAGGCUCAGCAGAACUAAAUCAGAGUUAGUGUCUCUGUUACCAUCUCCUUUGUGAAAAGCCUCAUAGAUUUCUGUGGUUGACAACAUUGACAGAGAUGACAUGGAAGAGCAGGUUUCUGCCUUGAAACCAGGGCUUCAAAUCUGAGAACCGUGGGAAAUCUGUUGAACUACACAGGUUUUCAUGUGGUUCAAAACUCCUAACAUUUCAGAACAGUUAUGUGAUAGAAGAUAUUGACUUACUGCAACUGACUAAAAGUUUUUACUUCUAUUUUAUAGGUGAACAGAAUCUAAAAUGUGACUAGUAUUAUACUUUUUAGAAAUAAGUUUGUACAAAAAGCUCUAUGAGUAGGUAAACUGGUUAAGUAAAAACUAGGCAAUGCCUUCAGUUUUUAAAUUGUAUUUUAUGAUUUUCUCUCUGGUGACUCUAAGGUGGGUCUACUCAGGAGCAGCAGAGCAGCAGGGACCUAUGGCCCUACAUCUGAUCCCAGGAGCUAGGGCUGUUUCACAGUCCUCUGUGUACCUUUCCUGCCAGAGGAGGGCUUGCAUCCAGGACAUGUCUGUCCCUGGACUCGGGUGAGAUCACCAUUUUCUCUCCAGUGACUCUCUAAGGCACUCAAGAAUGCACUGGCCACAGAAGCAGCAGAGCCGCUGGAACAGGGUUCUAUAGUCCUACAUCUGCACCCAGGAGGUUGGGCUUUUCCGCAACCUUUUCGUGCACUGGUCUUGCCAGGAGAGGGCUGGUCUCCCAGGAGUACUGACACAGGCUUACAGACUCAAAGGAAGAACAAGCCUCAGCCAGAGAGAGCAAGAACAUGUAACAUCAGAGAUUAGCAGAUGGCCAAAGGCAAAAGUGAGAAUCUGACCAACAGAAACCAAGACUGCUUGGCAUCCUCAAAUCUCAGUACUUCCAACACAGCAAGUUCAGGAUACCCCAACACACUGAAAAAGCAAGCUUCAGAUUUAAAAUCGUAUCUCAUGAUGCUGGUAGAAGAUAAUAAGAACAUGAAUAAAUUUUUUUAAAGAAAUACAGGAGAGCCAGGCAUAGUGGCACACGCCUUUAAUCAAAGUACUUGGGAGGCAGAGGCAGGUGGAUUACUGAGUUCGAGACCAGCCUGGUCUACAAAGUGAGUUCCAGUUCCAGGACAGCCAGGGCUACAGAGAAACCCUGUCUUG